This 244-nucleotide non-coding RNA is filed under the name Trichococcus sp. Its description in RNAcentral is "T-box sequence". It matches the Rfam family "T-box leader". Rfam says of the family: Uncharged tRNA acts as the effector for transcription antitermination of genes in the T-box leader family. T-boxes are found upstream of many aminoacyl-tRNA synthetase genes and some amino acid biosynthetic genes usually in Gram-positive bacteria. The record is from RNAcentral. Lineage: Bacteria; Bacillati; Bacillota; Bacilli; Lactobacillales; Carnobacteriaceae.
AUAAGAGCGAUGAAGAGAAGAGUACCUUUCGAUCGUCAUUCCAGAGAGCCCCGGCAGGUGAAAAGGGGUAUGAUGAAAAGAAGCGAAGAUGGUCUCGGAGCAAAGCAAUGCGGAUAGUGUUGCUUCGGUUUGUGCACGAUAGCGCACAGGAGUAUAACAAGCGUCAGCUUGCGUACUUUUAAAGGUAUGGAUCGCGAGGUCCCUACGAACAUGGGUGGUAACACGAAGAGCUUUCGUCCCUGUA